CUGCUUGGAAUUCUCUCUCCGUCUCUCUCUGCCUCUCCCCUGCUUAUGUACUCUAAAUAAUAAAUAAAGUCAUAAAGAAACACAAUAAAAUAUUUUAAAAAAUUAAAUGAAGAAAGCACUAAUACCAAUUAUUUUCAAACUCUCAAAACAUUGAAAAUGAGGGAACAUUUCCUAACUCAUUCUAAGGUUCCGGGGAAACUGCACAUCCACAAGCAGAAAAAUAACACUGGAGCCUUACCUCAUACAAAAAAUUAACUCAAUACGGAUCAAAGACCUAAAUGUAAGACCUAAUAACACAAAACUCUUAGCAGAAAACAUAGGACUAAAGCUUCCCAACAUUUGGCAAUGAUCGUUAUUUAAAAAAAAAAAUUUAAUGUUUAUUUCUGAGAGAGACAGAGCAUGAGCAGGAGAGGGAUAGAGAGCGAGCGAGACACAGAAUCCGAAGCAGGCUCCAGGCUCUGAGCGGUCAGCACCGAGCCCGAUGUGGGGCUCGAACUCACGGACCGCGAGAUCAUGACCUGAGCCAAAGUUGGCUUAACCGACUGAGCCACCCAGGCGCCCCGACAAUGAUUUCUUGGGUAGAAUAGCAAAGGCACAGGCAAAAACAAAACCAAACAAAACCAAACAAAUUACAUUUCAUGAAAAACUUUAUGUGCAUCAAAAGACACUCUCAACAGAGUAAAAAGGCACCCCACAGAAUGGAAGAAAAUAUUUGCAGAUCACAUUUCUCAUAAGGGGUGAAGAUGCGGAAUAUGUAGAGAACCCCUAAAACCCAACAACAAGGAACUUGACUCAAAAAUGGGUAAAGAACUUGAACAGACCUUCCUCACAGAAGUUAUGCAAAUGGCCAACAAGCCGUGAAAAGAUGCUUAACAGCGACAAACGUCAGGGAAACGCAAGUCAAAACCACAAUGAGGUCCCACCUCACACCUGGUGGAGUGGCUGCUACCCGAAAAUAGCAAUUGUUGACGGGUGUGGGGACUGGAACCCUGCACACGGUCGGCGGGGCUAUAAAUGGUGCAGCCGUGUGGAAAACGGUGUUGGGGUUACUCGAAGAAUGAAAGAAAGAUGUUUGUCGCAUGUUCCGGCAGUUCCACUUCCAGGCAUUUGCCUGAAAGAAUUCCGAGCAGGGUCUUGAGGAGACGUCUGCACCCGCUGUUCACUGCAGCGUUAUUCACGACAGCUAAGAAGCAGAAGCAACCCAAGCGCGCGCGGACAGAUGAACGUGUUACGAAAAACGGCAUGUCAUUCAGCCUCAAAAUGAGAAACGGUUCUGACACCUGCUGCAACACGGAUGAGCCUGGAGGACGCGAUGCUCAAUGGAAUGAGCCAGUCGCCAAAAGACAAAUCACGUGCGACUCCACUGGUGGAAAAGAGCUCUGGACGUGGAGGAUGGAACACUAGGAAUGUAUUAACUGCUGCUGAACCAUGUACUUAACAAUGGUUAAGACGAUGAAGGAACUGGGGACUCACGGGGUGAACAGCUCUGGAUCACACCCCCAAGGUGAGGUGCCGGCCCCCGCCCCAGGACCCGGGGUACGGUAAGCAGGGUCAGAUCAGCUGAGCAGAGGAGACCCCCAGCCCUGGGAUCACACAAACUUUCCACUGUCCUCUCAGGCUGGAGUGAUCUGGACUCCACCAGCCUCCCCACCGGCUCCCGAGACCAGCCGCCCUCGAAUCAGCUCAGACACCAUCCAUCCUGGAGGCAAGCCUCCCUCGUCCCACGUCCAUCUCGAGUUCGCCUCACCCCAAAGAGCCAGCUUCCUCACGGCUCCCACCAGUUCGUGCCCAGGUCCCCUGAGCGUGCUGCCUCCAGCUCUGCCUAGGGGCCCCAGCGCUGGGCUGUCCUCCUCCUCCUCGGCUGCAGCCACAGGCGGCCCCGGCUCUCAGGGACCCGCACGUCCUCUCAGCUCCCACCGCACAUCCCUGGAGCUAAGAGGACAUCUUCCACGUCCACAGGCACCCUACAGUCUCUGAGAUGCACCCAUUCCCACCUGUCCCCUGUUCUGCCUUACUCCGCCCACCCACCCCUGCACCUAGAGCAGCUGGCAUAAAUCCCCCGUGUCUCCUCCAAUCCCACAGUGCUUCCUUGUCAGGGCAGAGCCACCCUCCAGCCCCUCACUCCCAAGUCUGCCUGCUGCCCUGAGCCCACCACCCCUGGCCCAGAGGCAGGGAGGGCCCCAGGCCUGCAGCUGAGAUGUUCCUACUCUUGUGGCCAGAGUUUGGAACUGUAACGUCUGGGUCCAAACCCAAGUUUUACCACGAUCCAGCUGGGAGGUCUCGGGCAAGAGAUGGUUCAUGCAGAAACACCUGCUUUCCUUUCCUUUCCUAUCAGGAUGGUGCUGACCUCAGCGGUGGCCUGUGUUCUACAGGAGUCAAUGGGUGUGAAAGGGCUGACGGGACAGACAGGUCGUGCUCAGUGUCAGCUCCCCACACUUUCUCAGAGCCACGGAGGCCCCUGUCCCCCAUCUGGAGGAGGUGGGGACGCAUGAGGCAUGGUGGUGACCGCAGUCCUGGGCUACCCCGGGACCAUUUAUCUUAAAUUAUUUUGAAAUGAUUAUGUGAAAUUAUUUAUUUAAAAGUCAUAUACAUCCCAGAGGUGGCCCUCACCCAGCCCCGGCUCCCCCUCUACGCCCUCCUGGUUGGGGGUGUGCAGGUCUCACCCCUCUGAGAACUUUCCCUGGAAGGCAGACUUCCAGGAAAGCCCUGUGUGUUGCCAAGGAAGCCUUCCAGCUCCCGGCACGGGGCCUGCCUCUGCCCGAGCUGCCGGGCCCGUUCUAAGACCUCAUCCUCUCCUCCAGGAGGAGCUUAGCCAGGACUCCUCCCCCAAGCUCAGGGCCUGGGUCUCCACAACUCGCUCCCAGUCCCUUUCCUCAUCUCGUGCUGCGUCCGGGGAGGCCUGGGUCUCUGGCAAGGCCUUUAAACUGUGUCCCCCUUGUGACACCAAGUGACAAAGCAGAUUUCUCAACUUGAUUUUCUUCUUCACACGAGAAGUGAAACCUCUAGCUUAGACUCCUUCUGAAAGAGACAUCAAUUCCUUUCCCUGCUUGUAUUAAAAGCCGCUUUCUGGGGCGCCUGGGUGGCUCAGUCGGUGAAGCAUCUGACUUUGGCUCAGGUCAUGAUCUCACAGUUCGUGAGUUCAAGCCCCACAUCUGGCUCCAUGCUGACAGCUCGGAGCCUGGAGCCUGCUUCGGAUCCUGUGUCUCCCUCUCUCUCUGCCCUGGCUCCCUGGCUCACUCUCUGUCUCUCUCUGUCUUUCAAAAUAAACGAACAUUAAAAAAAAUUUUUAAAAAGCUGUUUUCAUAAAUUCAAGCUUUCUGCCAAAAUUGGUCAGAGAUGUAUCAACGAGUUUCAUUCCCGUGGACGGCUCUUCCAACUUCUGCUCUGUCUCUUAGUUUAUGGCUGGUACCCUUUGCUUCCUCUGAAGACAACUCCCCAAAAGAUAAAGGCUCCCGAAAUGGCAUGGCACCGGAACACCAGGUUGAAGUCGGUCCCAGGCCGAGGACUACUGGCCAUGUGCCCACCAGCAAGUCCACACAGCAACCCAACAGGACUGCGCUUGAAAGGGCUCCAACAGCCAGGCCUUGGCAUCCAGCCAUGACUGAGUGACACAUGGGAGCCAGCCUCCAACAGAGGAAGGAACCUCUGCCUUCAUAGAUGGCGCCUGACCUGGCUCCUCCACGGGAACACAGAUGUUCACGGGACUCCUAUGCCCUGCACUAAGCUGUGUUGAAGGGCUCCUGGUUGGCCAGGUGUCCAGGAGGAUCUUUGGCCCUGCGCUAUGCUGGGUCAAAUUCCUGAUCAGUAGAGGGUCUGGGAGACACAUUCACUCCAUGUUGAGCUGCCUCAGAGGGCUCUCAGGCAGCCACGUGUCCUGUGCAUGCAUUCGCCCUGUGCUGAGUUGGGUCGGAGGGUUCCCUGUCAGCCAUGUUUCCUGGGCACUCGUUCAACCUGUACCGAGCCGGGUCAGAGGGCUCAGGCUGGCCAGGCGUCCUGUGGAUGCAUUCUACCUGUGCUGGGCUGGGUCCACCCCCUGGGCUGCGUUUCCAGGGACUCGUUCACCCUGUGCUGAGCUGGGUUGCAGGGUGCCUGGUCUGGGAGUCCUUGAGACUCACUUUCCCUGAACUGAGCUGUGUUGGAGGCUCCUGGCCAGCUGGGGAUCCUGGAGACUUGUUCUCCUUGGGCUGGGCUGGGUCAGAGGGCUCCCAGCCGGAGGAUUCCUGAUUAGCUGGACGUCAGUGGGACUCUUCACCCUGUGCUGAUCUGGGUGGUAGGUGUCGAGUCCCCUAGGGGACUCGUUCACCCUGUGCUGAGCCAGGUUGUGGCCUUGGAAGUCAAGAAGGGCUCUCCCUGGAUGGGUGAGGGUCCCUUGUACUCUGAUUUUCAGUGCCCUACUCCCAACUGCUGAAUGACAACACGUAACUGAGCAAUCUGGCCAGCCCCUUGUUGGGCUUGGGUCCAGGAGGUGCCAGGUGUAGGUAUGUGGGACUGCAAGGCGGCAUGAAGGUGGGCACCAGCCUUGAGGUGGAGCACAGAGUCCGCGAGAAGCCGGGGGCAGGACGAGUGGGCGGGGCCUCGCCAUCAGCAGGGACAGGAACGGAGAAGCAAGGAGGAGCUAAGAGAAGCUGCAGGAAACGUGCCAUCUCUCUAUUCAGUGCGGCUCUGCAGGUGACUGGCUUUUCUAACAGCCAGGGUUUCACAACGCCUCCUCCUGAUGUCGCCACAGCACCCUCCACAAUCACCAGGGGUCUCUCACCGGGUCUUGUCUGGGAGGCCCAAUUGCCAGGCAGCUUUCACCCAGGCCCUCCUUCCCUCAUCACCUGGACGCCAUCCUGGGUCCCCUACCAGCUGGACCAGCGCCCACGCUGGCCUUUUGUCCGGGCAGCACCACCCCCGGGUACGGGGUGUAGCAGGGACUUGCCCACGUGAAAAUUAGUGAGAGGAAACCUCAUUUAGAAUGGAGUCGGGUGGCCAGCAGGGGGAGCUCUCAGCCCUACCGCUCCCGGUCAGUUGCAGACCCAACAGGAAGGGACGCACCUUGCAGGUGGAUUCCACUGUAGCCACCACUUUACAAGCUCAGCAGGAGCUGCCGGAGGAUGGAAGGUUUCCUCCUCCCCCAGCAACAAUCCAGCCAAAGAGAGACAGCCACAGCCCAGCCAGUGAGAGAUCAUCACAGCUCAGCCAAUGAGAGACUGCCACAGCCCAGCCAAUGAGAAGGCACCACACUUCCAGCUCAGAGUUUGCUCCAAUGAACUUUCUGUUUACAACAGCCCUCCCGCCCACUCCACCCUCCCUUCCUUAUAAACCAGCCUCCUGAACCGUAUGGUCGAGAGUUGCUUGUCCUGUGUUGGCCUCUGCUGUUCCCGAAUAAAGCCAGUCUUGCUGGGGAAAUAACUGGCAGUUUUGUUUUUGAAGUUAACGCCAGGCGGGGCAGCUCGGGAGUGCGUGAGAAGGGGCUGGGCUGAGGUCCUCCCAGUUCUGGCCAAGGGGACCUGAAGGACACCUGCUGGUGGGGGCAGGUGGUGUCCUUGGAAGUCUUCUUCACCCAGGGAAGGCGGCCGGUAGGAGGCGGUCCAAGCUCUUGCCCCGGCUGGGUGAUUUCGUGAUGCCUUCCCAGAGGAGCUGCUGCAAAGGCCUGCCCUGUGACCGGAUGCGCUCCGCACCCCUGCAGCCUUGUGACCUGCGACCCCUGUGGGCGAGGCACCUGCACUGAAGCCACUUCGGGCAGAGAUUCCAUCACAGGAAGCCGAAGUCACCCUCGCGGGUCCGUUUCGGAACAACCUAAAUAUCUCACCCGAGUAUGUCCCGUGCCUCCCCUCCCGUGGAGCCACGCACCCGUCCCACGGGGACCGGUUUUUGGCUUCCGCGGCCGCUGUGUUCCUGUGACUCCGGGCUGGGAAGAAGGGCCUCGUGGGAUUUCUGAAGGGGUCGGGAGGUGAUGCAGCAGCGCCUUGGCCGAUGUGGAGGCCACAUGUGAUGGCCGGAUCCCUCUGCCGCACCUCCAGGAUGGAAACCUCCGGAAGGCCCGGGAGCAGAAAGGGGGACACAAAGCCCUAAUCUUGUGGAGAAUCCGGGCUUGUUUACAUGAGAGAAUUUCAUUUUCCUUUUUCCCAGUCCCUACGGUGGCAUUUUGUUCGUAGCGGAUUCACCGAUCCCCACCUGAUCGGGGGUACACGCCGGCUGCACAGCUGCCCUGGGAAGGGGUUCCGGACACUUGUUCCCCCCGCCCCCCACAGCUGCCGACCUAGGAGUGGGGCCCCUCACCUGCCCACGCUGACCCCUUCUCCGGCUCCCUCCGCGUCGACUGCGCAGACUCCCCAGUUCCCAGAGCUGGUCAGUGUCCUCAGGCCCCGGGGCCUCUGCCCGUGCACCUCCGUCCCGGAGUGUCGGCUGCCGGGCGUCGCUUCCUCCGGGGUGCCCUCCCGCCCGCUAGCCGAGACCCCCUGACUUCGCUGUCCCCCACGGUUGCUGUCGCGUCUGGGCCCGGUCGCCCUUCCCCAUGACGCUGAGCUGCCCGAAGCGAGCGGCAGCGCCGCCGAGCAGAGGCCCUUUCCGCCGUGUGAUCUCAGGCGGGCGCCGCGGCCACCACCAAAGCGGGGGAGACGGGACAUGCAGCUGGCAGAGCCGCAGGGGACCCUCCUGAAGAGCACGGAGAACGCUCGGGCCCCUGCCGGCGCGUGGCCUCCUCAUUGUCACCGCCCCGAGGCAGGUACACCAGUAACACCGGACUCUCUCUCGGCCUCUGUCCUCGCCAGCGGCUGGAGGACGUUCUCCCGCUUGGGACGUUCUCGGAGGUGGCGGGUGACAGAGCUUGCGGGUGGUGCCCCAGCCCGUCCGGUGUCCAGGGGGGCUCGGGACGCGCCCCCCUGGCCGCCCCCCUCCCUGGCCGCUGGCUGGAGAAGCCCUUCCCCCCGCCCCGGAGAGGAACGGGUGGGGGUCCUGUGCGGCUGGAGCCCACGGGCCUUCCUGUGUCUGGCCCGGAGGACGCCUGCUGCUCUUUGGGACCCCGCAGCCCUCCCAGCCGUGCACACUCCGGGUGCGUCACUGCCCUGUUCAGACGCCUCUCAGGGCCUCGCACGGUGACGAGAACGCGUUUUCUCACGGGGGCCACUCCCUGGCCUCAAGCACCCGGCUGGUGAGCCAGGCGUGGGGACCCCCAGCACCGGGCUCUGGGGCCCGUGCCCCACAGCCUCCCGGGAGUUCUGCGCGGGGCACUCAAGGAAUGGGUGCGGAUGUGCUGCCAGAAAUGCCCAAUAAUCAUCCGGAGAAGAAGGUGGGAAAUUAUCUGAACAAACCUUGGAGCUGGGGGCGGGAGCAGAAAUGGGAGGUAACCUGUUUCUAAGGACCUCACGGUGGCAUGGGGACACCCAGAGGACAGAACGCUCCGAGGAUGCCGUCUGGACACAGGCUCAGGUGACGGAGGCUGUGUCAUCUGCUGACGUCAUCUGCUGGCUGUGCCCCGCCCCCCCCCCCCCCCCCCCGCGUUGACAAGGUGAAGGAAGGACCCUCUGCCUGAAGAAAGGGGGUGGGAACAGGUCCCACCCACACGGUGCCACAGCCCCGGACUUCCUCUUCCUCUGCUGGUGCCAGGCCCCACGUUCCUGUGAUCCGGGGCCCUUCCCCUGUCGCUGCCUCCCUUCCAGCACCUUCCCUUCGUGUCUCUCCGGGUGGCGGUCACCGCCUGGCGCUGCUCGGUAGUUGGUUUGGCUCCUUUGUCUGUGCCCCUGGCUGGUCAGGUCGGGGAGCAGGGCUUUGCCCGCCCUGUUCACGGCUACGUGCUCAGCGCCUGGAGCCGUCCAUACGAUGGAUGCCAAAAAGUAAUUUCUAAUGAAUGAAUUGUCGCUUCAUGUUCAGCCUAAGAAGCUGCUAGAGACCGGAGUUUCACGGCCCGCAAAUGAACGCCGAUCCCGCCGACCACAGGCUUCCGACCAAUGCUGGCCGCGGCGUGAGAGCGGUGUUCCCAUGUGCUGGGGGCCGGACCGCUGUGGCCGGCCACAUGGCCAUCCAGGGGACACCUGGUCCCCGCACACACGGAUUCUGGCAGAUUAUCCACAUGCUCUCUGAAAGGUCGAGAAAGGGGCAGUCGGACAGAAGGAAACCGAAUCCGGGCCCACGAGGCCGUGCGUGCCAAGGAAAAGUGAGAAUUUCCAGCAAGAAGAGGAGGGGAGACCAUAGCCCCGCACAUACCUUCAUUUAGACUUCUAGCCUCCAAACGAGCGAGGACCGAUUCUGUUGCUUCGAGCCAUCUAGUCUGUGGUACUUUGUUUACAGUGGCCUUAGUAAACAAAUACAUGUAUAACCCUAAUUUAAAAUAAAAAAAAUAGUGUGCACUAGA
Long non-coding RNA from Felis catus (domestic cat), 8335 nucleotides. RefSeq lists it as uncharacterized. Lineage: Eukaryota; Metazoa; Chordata; Mammalia; Carnivora; Felidae. The transcript is spliced from 5 exons. The record is from RefSeq and is a predicted model, not a curated record.